This 224-nucleotide long non-coding RNA is filed under the name Elaeis guineensis (African oil palm). RNAcentral describes it as "long non-coding RNA (EGUI_LNC058015)". Lineage: Eukaryota; Viridiplantae; Streptophyta; Magnoliopsida; Arecales; Arecaceae. The record is from RNAcentral.
GCCUUGUAUCGAUCAGGUUUCUCCAAGAAUCUGACUCGAUCCUCUCAGAACCUUCUUUAGACUUCUGAAUUCCCUCCUUUAGGACCUUCUCCAUCUUUGUCUGGAUUUGAUUAGACUUUGUCUUAAGUGCCAAAGUCUUUUCCUAAAACUAGGAGGGAAUGUAAGAAAGAAAGGAGAGCAACCGAGAGAAAAAUGGAAAGCAGAUUGAAUGUCUGGAACAUCCA